Molecule: ribosomal RNA, 253 nt
Filed under: uncultured bacterium
Lineage: Bacteria
Description: partial 16S ribosomal RNA
Rfam family: Bacterial small subunit ribosomal RNA
Source: RNAcentral
UACGAAGGGGGCUAGCGUUGCUCGGAAUUACUGGGCGUAAAGCGCACGUAGGCGGCUUCUUAAGUCGGAGGUGAAAUCCUGGAGCUCAACUCCAGAACUGCCUUUGAUACUGAAGAUCUUGAGUUCGGGAGAGGUGAGUGGAACUGCGAGUGUAGAGGUGAAAUUCGUAGAUAUUCGCAAGAACACCAGUGGCGAAGGCGGCUCACUGGCCCGAUACUGACGCUGAUGCACGAAAGCGUGGGGAGCAAACAGG